AAUCAACGCUGGCGGCGUGCCUCAGACAUGCAAGUCGAACGAUUAAAGCUCCCUUCGGGGAGUGCAUAGAGUGGCGCACGGGUGAGUAACACGUAAGUAAUCUACCUUUGAGUGGGGAAUAACGUUCGGAAACGGACGCUAAUACCGCAUAAUGCAGCGGCAUCGCAAGAUGACAGUUGUUAAAGGAGCAAUCCGCUUAAAGAGGAGCUUGCGGCAGAUUAGCUUGUUGGUAAGGUAACGGCUUGCCAAGGCUACGAUCUGUAUCCGGUCUAAGAGGACGGUCGGACACACUGACACUGAAUAACGGGUCAGACUCCUACGGGAGGCAGCAGUCGGGAAUUUUGGGCAAUGGGCGAAAGCCUGACCCAGCAACGCCGCGUGAAGGAUGAAGUAUUUCGGUAUGUAAACUUCGAAAGAAUAGGAAGAAUAAAUGACGGUACUAUUUAUAAGCUCCGGCUAACUACGUGCCAGCCGCCGCCGUAAG
Molecule: ribosomal RNA, 484 nt
Filed under: uncultured bacterium
Lineage: Bacteria
Description: bacterial SSU rRNA
Rfam family: Bacterial small subunit ribosomal RNA
Source: RNAcentral